Molecule: long non-coding RNA, 1209 nt
Organism: Dendroctonus ponderosae (mountain pine beetle)
Lineage: Eukaryota; Metazoa; Arthropoda; Insecta; Coleoptera; Curculionidae
Exons: 3
Source: RefSeq, a predicted model, not a curated record
CAACUGAUGAAAGUGACGAAUUUCUCAUUUCAACUCUUUGUCCUCUUCUCAUAGUUUGGUCCGUUACGUUUGUAGUUUUACGCAUAAAGCAGCAGAUAUCCACAUAAUGUUAAUAAGGAUGACUUGAUCUAGUUUUUUUGCUAGAAUUAUAGAAUUUUUGACUGAGAAACGGGACUAUUUUGUUUGCAUCGAUUUUUUCAUACUUUAAAUACCUCUAGAGAUCUAGAGACAGAAACAUCUGCAUAUCCAUUUCUGCAGUUUUCAAAUGUAUUGUAUAUGAGAGACAAAUCGCUACUUUAAAAAAAUAAUUAAUUAAUGAAAAACCAAUGAAUCUUUGAUUCCAGACCAAAAAAGAGAAAUCGCUUUGAAACAAUAUUAAACGAGCGAAAACAUAUAACAACUACGAGAAAACGAGAUGAAAAGUUAGCAAUAUCCAAGAUCAAGCUAAACGAGUUACACCAAUGUCUCAAAAUAUAGUAGAGGUUAUGGCAAAACUUUUAUUUUGACAGAAACUAAAAAAUUUGCAAGAGCCCAAAAACUGACUACACAAUCCAAAUUACAAAAAAAUUAAACUAAAUUAAAACCAAGUCGAAAAGUGGUGAAGAAUCACAUUAACAAACCGUCGUCUUUUGACGUAUUCCAGCCUUGAUAUAUGAAAGAUAGCAUCCUGUGUAGGAAAAGCCGCCACUGUUGAGAUGCAAUUAUGCUUUGAUAUUGGCUGGCAAAUCACUUAUCGUAAGCCCUUAAGCGAGUUCGGAUUUAUUUUAUUUUUAUAUCAACUAGUUUAUUAAAACUAACAUCCGAGCAUAAUGAACUGGGCAUAGAGAAUGAAGCUGAGUUUUUUAGUGUUUAUGGACUGAAAUAAGAAGCGAAAAGGAGCAGACUGGCAUAUGCAGCAGGUGACGGACACUCGGUAGUCUGUAAUCAACUGUAGCGGCAGGAAUCGACCGCAGAAAGCGGGAAAAAGAAAAGCAAAAGGCCGACUUGGACAGGAUUGAGCUUUCAACAGGGUGGGUCGAUGGCCACGCUUUAUUAAUUUCACUUGAAGAAGCAGCCUUUGCAUAUUCAAAAGCAUCCGUUCCACCAGCAAAUAUUACAACUUCUUCACUGGCGGAAACAGGAGAACUCGAUACAUAAUUUUUUGCCCUCUCUAAUUCAGAGAUGAUUUCAUGUAAUGAAAGGAAAAAGGAAAGGAUUUGUACUUUAUAA